GGAGAGAUGUCCGAGUGGUCGAAGGUGCACGAUUGGAAGUCGUGUAAGCUCAAAAGGCUUCGAGGGUUCGAAUCCCUCUCUCUCCG
RNAcentral lists this transfer RNA (86 nucleotides) under Spirochaetales bacterium. RNAcentral describes it as "tRNA-Ser". It matches the Rfam family "tRNA". From Rfam's summary of the family: Transfer RNA (tRNA) molecules are approximately 80 nucleotides in length. Their secondary structure includes four short double-helical elements and three loops (D, anti-codon, and T loops). RNAcentral also lists the same sequence under 1 other name. The record is from RNAcentral. Lineage: Bacteria; Pseudomonadati; Spirochaetota; Spirochaetia; Spirochaetales.